GGAUUGUGGCUCAGAGGAAAAGUGCUUGCCUCGCAUGCGUGAGGCACUCGGUUCGAUCCUCAGCACCA
This 68-nucleotide transfer RNA is filed under the name Marmota monax (woodchuck). RNAcentral's name for it is "tRNA.Ala". The record is from RNAcentral. Lineage: Eukaryota; Metazoa; Chordata; Mammalia; Rodentia; Sciuridae.